AAGUCGUAACAAGGUUUCCGUAGGUGAACCUGCGGAAGGAUCAUUAACAAACGAAUUGAACUCUGGUUCUCUUCUAAUCCUUGUGAAUUGUGCCUUCAACCUUUGGUGCUCACGCACCAACAUGUAACACUUGUCCAACAAUGUCUGACUGAAUCUUUGAUUUAAUCAAAUACAACUUUUAACAAUGGAUCUCUUGGCUCUU
RNAcentral lists this unclassified non-coding RNA (202 nucleotides) under fungal sp. Its description in RNAcentral is "partial internal transcribed spacer region". The stretch from base 1 to 46 matches the Rfam family "Eukaryotic small subunit ribosomal RNA", at positions 1786 to 1831 of the family's 1831-position model. Lineage: Eukaryota; Fungi. The record is from RNAcentral.